Molecule: non-coding RNA, 2884 nt
Organism: Lolium perenne
Lineage: Eukaryota; Viridiplantae; Streptophyta; Magnoliopsida; Poales; Poaceae
Source: RefSeq, a predicted model, not a curated record
UAUAAAAGCUGAACCCCUUUGCCGUAAGGAGAGUAUUUUGGAUACUGUUACUCCUUCAGUUUACUCCAAUCAGCUUUAGCCACGAUAGGUUUUUCACUGUUCAUAGAGGAAACGAAGUCUGUAGAUGGUCAAGCAUGUCUCUCCCUUCUCAUUUUUUUUCCCGUGUGAAAUUCGGAUUGACUGGCUGGUAUCCGGUAGCAUAUCUUAUCCUUCCGGUAAUCCUGCUAUCAGUUUAAUUUUUUUUCCUCUUUUACACCUGUGAAUCCCGGUGCUCCGGUAGAUCAUGCCUCCGUGGGUUCGGUCAAAGCGGUGAUAGGGGCCCACCACCGAACAAACCAGAAACUCUGCCCAAUUCCCUCACGACCUUCCUCAUUGGCCCUCUCCCUACCCAAUUUCCACCUCCACCGGCCUUCCCUGGGAGCUUCUCUCUCAUCCAGAGCACAUCGCCGGUCCGGCCAUCCGCCGCCACGGCAGAGAUGACCAAAGGGUACUACACCUGCGUCUUUGAGGUCUUCGCCAGUCCCGCCGUCCGCUGCUACAGCCAUGGACCAUGAGCUGUACCUGGAGGAGCAACGCCGGAAGCGUUACCUCGCGUAGGUGGGAGCCAGGCCAAGGGGAGCAGAGGAAGGUGAGGCCGCUGCCAGCAACGCAAGGACAACAACAGCCGGUGCAGUAUGGCUCCGGGGCGAGCAUGCCGGUGAGCCCACCGACAAGCAGCGUCGAAACUCCACCGUCCAGCAGUGCCGAGCAAAUUUGCAGAACCUCUCUUCGCGUCUUCAGAUCUUCCAAUUCUGGCCACGCAAUAUAAUCUACAAGACAAUCAAAUUGAAAAGGUUGGUUUCGGUGCAGCUGAGCCAAAUUUGGAGUGCUUGCAGAUUUCAAACCACAAGUUUCCGUCUGAUAGACAACAUAUUUGUUUCUGACCAGAGAUAAAUCUAUUUUUUUGCAGAACCAAACAACUAUGUCUUUUAUCUUUUGAGCAUUUAGAAUACUUAGUUAAUAGGUGUAUACAUUUUAUGUUGCUUGGAGAUAACCUUACGUAUGUUAAAUAGCAGAUGAAGCCCUUACUGAACUGUUGCUCAUCAAUUCUUGUGGGGAAGACUUACAUAACAGAAUGCACUAUUAUAACUAGGUUGCCUUUUUUGUUUGUUUCAGAUACACUACUAAUAUUUGAAUGCAUUUUCGAUUAGUGUUAUUAUGCACAAAUUUUCUCCUCUUUUUACAUUUGGUAUUACAGCUUCAGUGAAAUUGUCUUCCACUGUUUGCAUAUUUCGGUCUAAGCUUACCCCUGCAUAGACCCAACUGAUCUGGUUAAGUUAAGUUCUCUUACUCUGGCUCUAUCUUCUCAUUUCAGGCAAUGGUGAAAUGCUUACAUUGUUGCCUGGCGUGUAGGAGUUCUUUGCAAUGGUGGCCCAAUCAAUCUUUGUGUUCACAAAUUUUUCAAGCAAUGGACUAUGCUUAGUCGCUUGAGAUACCUAUGAAAACUUAAGAAAGUAGCAAUGGAGGCCACACCAGUGAGUGAAAGAUAUCUCACCUUGAUUUCGAUGAAAGCUCCUGCGCUUGUUUCGUGGAUCUUGGAGAACAAGGACCAAUAAUUGAAUGUGUAUGAAUUGGGGUUCAUUGUCGUUGACCACCUGGUAGCUCCUGAACACUCAGCUUCUUGAUCCCUCCAUGAUGACCUACACAUGAGAUUCAGGCAGUUAGCUUAGCAUUCUCAUUCAGUUAUCUGUCGAUACUUACUCAACCUUUAGAUGAUGAAGUCUAUGACAAUAUCUUUCAUCCGAGCAUUUGAAUUUUGGUUACACUAGCUGCUAUCAUCUAUGAAACUCCUACAAUUAGCUCGACAUGUUCAUCUUCUCUUUACUGGCUGCCACUACACAGCAGUAAGUGCAAUUUUAUUGUGCGAGUGAUUACUACAAGAACUGAUGAUUCUUUACAUUAAAUGUAGAAAGGCUCCCUACUAGCCAACUGAGUGGAUCAGUUCAACGAGAAGCUAAAAGAGGGCUAGAUCUACAGGCUCUAAUCUUUCAUGGUUGUUGGUCCCUGGAACCAAUACAGGACAGCUAAGCACCCUGACAGAAUCAGGAUCCAGAGCCUGAAAACUUACUCUAUAUGCAUACGACGCAAAUUCAUUUGAUGCUAUUCUGCCACGCACAGAAAACAAUAUGCUCUUAUCAGUUUUAGAUAUCGUUGGAGUAGUGAUCAGGCUAACUGAACUUAUUCCAUCAACGGGUGAUGGAGAACCAAGAAGGCAUGUCUACUUAAAGGAUGAAAGGUCUAACAUACAGUAUAGGGGAACCACUACAAGCUAGCAUAGUAGUCACCGAAGUAGAUGAUCCACAUACAGGUGGACUUAUUCAUGCAAACUCUGCUUGAGAAAAAAUGGUUCCAGCCGGAAAUUCACGCCGAUGUCCCAGCUGCUGCUCCAAGGAAGAGCAACACAUGUAAAAAAAACAGGUGGAGGCGCUAGGAAAAAAGGAAUUGGAGGGUCGUGCAACUCCUUCCUCAAAUGGAGUAGACAUGCGGAAGAGGGAAGAGGCAAAGAUGAUGAAACCUUCACAGUAAUAAACAUGCGGGCAUUCCUAAGGAACCAUCCCGAAUUGGCAAAGAUCUACAAGCCAUGAUUGUUUUUAAUAUUGCUCUCAGUUUUUGUAAUAAGAUAUCUUAAUCUGUUUACCUUAUUACAACCAGAUUCAUUUGUAUUGACAAUUUUUGGAUGGGUUGUUGUUCCUCUCAUUUGCAUACAAGUUUCCAUUUUAUGUAACUGCUAUGUACUGGUGUAACCCCAAUUGACUGGCCAAACAAUGCUCACAUUACUAGCAUAUAUGCAUUAGUUACAACUAAAAGAUGUAGUGCAAAAGCCAUGACUUUACAGCGCAUGCAC